RNAcentral lists this ribosomal RNA (482 nucleotides) under uncultured bacterium. RNAcentral's name for it is "partial 16S ribosomal RNA". It matches the Rfam family "Bacterial small subunit ribosomal RNA", at positions 28 to 523 of the family's 1533-position model. The record is from RNAcentral.
GACGAACGCUGGCGGCGUGCUUAACACAUGCAAGUCGAACGAUGAAGCCCAGCUUGCUGGGUGGAUUAGUGGCGAACGUGUGAGUAACACGUGGGCAACCUGCCCCGAACUCUGGGAUAACUCCUCGAAAGAGGUGCUAAUACCGGAUACGAACUAGACAGACAUCUGUACUAGUUGGAAAGUUUUUCGGUUUGGGAUGGGCCCGCGGCCUAUCAGCUUGUUGGUGAGGUUACGGCUCACCAAGGCUACGACGGGUAACCGGCCUGGGAGGGCGAGCGGUCACACGGGGACUGAGACACGGCCCAGACUCCUACGGGAGGCAGAAGUGGGGAAUAUUGCGCACUGGGCGAAAGCCUGACGCAGCGACGCCGCGUGAGGGAUGAAGGUCUUCGGAUCGUAAACCUCUUUCAGUAGGGACGAAGCGAAAGUGACGGUACCUAAAGAAGAAGCACCGGCUAACUACGUGCCAGCCGCCGCCGUAA